Molecule: long non-coding RNA, 433 nt
Organism: Macadamia integrifolia
Lineage: Eukaryota; Viridiplantae; Streptophyta; Magnoliopsida; Proteales; Proteaceae
Exons: 3
Source: RefSeq, a predicted model, not a curated record
GAAAGAAGGAGAAGGAGAAGGAGAGCAAGGAAGGAAGAGGAAGGGAGGAGCAAGGGUUUCCUACCAACUAAGGAGUAUAACCAAGAGGUGACGAGACACGGCGCGAGGCCAUCGGUUGUCCAUCAUCACCUAGGACUCGAGAUGUUGAUUCAGGUAACCCUUCAGAAACUGUGAUUAAGGAUCCAUCUCUCUACAGAGGUGACCUCUGGGAUGAGAAGUUGGUUACACACGAGGACGGAUGCGUGUGUGAUGACUGUGCAUUUGGAAUACGCUAAAGAUGGGAGUAUCAUUUUCUCUUUUUUAUUCUUUUGUACUUAGUAGAGGUAGCCCUAGGGGCAUAAUUGUAAUUGAUAUUUCACUGCGAAAAUAUUUUGUUAAAUAUGAUAAAUACUGUUAGACUCCACCAGUUAUGUAUAUUUGACUUUUAUUAUUA